CGAAACAGGUGUCGAUCGACA
This 21-nucleotide non-coding RNA is filed under the name Arabidopsis thaliana (thale cress). The record is from RNAcentral. Lineage: Eukaryota; Viridiplantae; Streptophyta; Magnoliopsida; Brassicales; Brassicaceae.